This 301-nucleotide ribosomal RNA is filed under the name uncultured bacterium. RNAcentral's name for it is "partial 16S ribosomal RNA". It matches the Rfam family "Bacterial small subunit ribosomal RNA", at positions 509 to 809 of the family's 1533-position model. The record is from RNAcentral.
CAGUAGCCACGGUAAUACGUAGGUGGCAAACGUUGUCCGGAAUUAUUGGGCGUAAAGGGCUCGCAGGCGGUUUCUUAAGUCUGAUGUGAAAGCCCCCGGCUCAACCGGGGAGGGUCAUUGGAAACUGGGAAACUUGAGUGCAGAAGAGGAGAGUGGAAUUCCACGUGUAGCGGUGAAAUGCGUAGAGAUGUGGAGGAACACCAGUGGCGAAGGCGACUCACUGGUCUGUAACUGACGCUGAGGAGCGAAAGCGUGGGGAGCGAACAGGAUUAGAUACCCCAGUAGUCCCUGUCUCUUAUAA